This 72-nucleotide transfer RNA is filed under the name Ovis aries (sheep). It matches the Rfam family "tRNA". From Rfam's summary of the family: Transfer RNA (tRNA) molecules are approximately 80 nucleotides in length. Their secondary structure includes four short double-helical elements and three loops (D, anti-codon, and T loops). Lineage: Eukaryota; Metazoa; Chordata; Mammalia; Artiodactyla; Bovidae. The record is from Rfam by way of RNAcentral.
UCCAUAAUAGCUCAGUUGGUAAAGAAUCUGCCUGCAAUGCAGGAGACACUGGUUCAAUUCCUGAGUUGGGAA